This 301-nucleotide ribosomal RNA is filed under the name uncultured bacterium. RNAcentral describes it as "partial 16S ribosomal RNA". It matches the Rfam family "Bacterial small subunit ribosomal RNA", at positions 509 to 807 of the family's 1533-position model. The record is from RNAcentral.
CAGCAGCCACGGGAAUACGUAGGUGGCAAGCGUUGUCCGGAAUUAUUGGGCGUAAAGGGCUCGCAGGCGGUUUCUUAAGUCUGAUGUGAAAGCCCCCGGCUCAACCGGGGAGGGUCAUUGGAAACUGGGAAACUUGAGUGCAGAAGAGGAGAGUGGAAUUCCACGUGUAGCGGUGAAAUGCGUAGAGAUGUGUAGGAACACCAGUGGCGAAGGCGACCCUCUGGUCUGUAACUGACGCUGAGGAGCGAAAGCGUGGGGAGCGAACAGGAUUAGAUACCCCCGUAGUCCCUGUCUCUUAUAC